AAGAAAAAUAAAAGAAAGUCUUCAUCCCUCUUCUAACCUACGUGCAGUAGCUUUAAAAAAAAAAAAAGGAUGAAGCCUUCCUCACAUUGAUCAUCUUCUUCUCCAUUUAUUUUUCCCUUAUUUUUGAUUCAAUACCCUAAAUUCAUGAAUUUUGUUCAACUUUCUUCACGAUUCAACUUUCCUUCAUCUACCUUUUUCAAUACUUAGAUAUUGUGAGUAUUUCAAAGAGGUAAAAUUUGGGUUUUAUUUUGGACGUUUUUGGGACGAACUUCGGAUCAAAAGGGCGUUUUUCGGGUCUUCUUGUGUGAUUUUUAUCUUCCAUAUUCAAAUUGCGGGUUCGUAGAGGAACCUUUCUGACUCGAGAUAGAGUUUUGUUAGCUGUGGUUGCUGAUAAGGGACUUGAAGAUAGUUAGCUCCGGUUGGGUUAAAGAGUGUGUUGGAUCCCUUUUGAUUUAAUAGGACUUUUAAAAAGACUUCCGCUCUUAUUUAUUUAUAAGAUUUAUGUUCUGGUUUUUAAUAAUUAUUUUACAUUCUAUUUCGUUGGUCUGUAAUAAUUAGUUAAAACUUUUGGUUAUUGUUUUAGUUAGAACAAUUAGCCUUGCGGUUAUUAUUAAUAAUUAUCGCGGCGUAGCACCUUUGGAUUUCUGAAUUUAUUUUUAUUAAGUUGAUUUUAGAAGUAUUGGAAAUUCAGGGUUGUUACAGAAGGAAGCUCCAGUCAAAGCCAAAGACAACAAACCUCAAGCCAACCUUGCUGAAGAUGAUGUCAUUACUGCUGUGGUGUCCGAGGUAAAUCUGGUAAGCAAUGUUUCAGAAUGAAUCGUGGAUACUGGUGCAACCCGUCAUAUCUGUGCCAACAAGGAAGUGUUCCAAGACUACCAGAAAGUUCCAGAAUCAGAGUGCAACUUCAUGGGAAAUUAAACUCAAGCACUGUGAGUGUUUUAGGCAAAGGAAAGGUUUUCCUGAAAUUUACAUCCCGGAAAACCAUUGCUUUGCAGAAUGUUCUGCAUGCUCCUGAUAUCCGCAGAAAUCUCAUUUCUGGUUCACUUUUAAACAAAGCUGGGAUUAAGUUAUCUUUUGAAUCUGAUAAACUUGUAUUAACCAGAAAUGGUAUUUUUGUGGGUAAAGGCUUUUGUAAUGCUGGACUUUUUGUUUUGGAUGUUGUUAUUGAUAAUAAAAACUCUACUGCUUCUGUUUA
Molecule: long non-coding RNA, 1195 nt
Organism: Beta vulgaris subsp. vulgaris (sugar beet)
Lineage: Eukaryota; Viridiplantae; Streptophyta; Magnoliopsida; Caryophyllales; Amaranthaceae
Exons: 3
Source: RefSeq, a predicted model, not a curated record